CUGGUAUGAAGAAAAAUCUUAUAAGUCAUAUCAUCCAGCCUUAUUCAGUCAAUUAAAUUAUAUGACUACAUAUUACUUAAUAUUCACAUUUCUUCGCUGGUAUUACUUAAAAGUGUUGCAUUUUAAUAUCUCACUUGAAUCUACAUGCAAAUACUUGAUAUAAUGUAAACACUGAGAAAAAAGGUUUGUGAAAUGUAGAGUAUUACAAAUGAGAUUCAACUUUAUAGUAGAUACAAACAGGAUAGCAAAUUGAACAGUGAAUAUACUUCCUAGCAGUUACUCAGACAUCAGACUUUGUCUUUACUGGUAAACUCGUCACUCUGGAGGAGAGGAAGCCCGGCUCAGCCCCUCCAGGAUGACCAUCAGGGUAGCCAACAAAGUCUGCAGGUAGAUUUUUGCAUAUCUGGUGCUCCGGUUUCAAGAUCAUAGUUUAACCAGGUACUGUAAAUAAAACUUUAGUCCAUGUUGUGAUGAUCCGUGUACUGAUGGACGCCGUCAGCUGGUCCAGGUGCUUGGAUCCAAUGGAAAGGUAAUCAGCACAGCGAUCAUGGCUCAGAAACACGAGGUGUUGCGAUGCAAACCUGAAAAAUUAAAAAAACAAAAAACUAAUAAAGUCCAUAUUUAGCUGCACAACGUAAUCAAAACUAAUAAAUCCUCAGCUCUUUUUGAGAGUUUUGCUUGAAAAUAAAUUGACAAUAUCUCAGGAAAUUAAAUGUUUAAGUGAAAUAGUUCUGGUAUCACAAAGAAACUGCAAAAAAUGUUUCAGAGGUGUAACAACACUGAAGUCACUGAGUAAGAGUGAAGUGAAAUACUACUUAGAAAUGCAUGUUAAAAUCUGAAUACCCUUGAAAGUGUGCAGCUGAAAUUAAUUUAAACUACUGGCAGGCAAAGCAUAAUGUUCGCCUAAUAUCUGUACCAACAGUAAGACAAAAAAUGAUGCAUACAAGAGGCAUUAGUUUAUAAAAGUCGAGGCAAACCUAAAUUUACCAUUUUAAAAACAAAAAGCAGCGGG
Poecilia latipinna (sailfin molly) is the source of this 1012-nucleotide long non-coding RNA. RefSeq lists it as uncharacterized. The transcript has 2 exons. The record is from RefSeq and is a predicted model, not a curated record. Lineage: Eukaryota; Metazoa; Chordata; Actinopteri; Cyprinodontiformes; Poeciliidae.